This 313-nucleotide long non-coding RNA is filed under the name Physcomitrium patens. RNAcentral describes it as "long non-coding RNA (PPAT_LNC001143)". The record is from RNAcentral. Lineage: Eukaryota; Viridiplantae; Streptophyta; Bryopsida; Funariales; Funariaceae.
AUCUUAUUAAUCUAGUUCUUGCCAGUUCUUUUUGAACUUCUUGUUAGAUCUCGAACCUGUAUUUCUGUGUCCGUGACACUUCACUUGGGAGAGGGAUCAUUGGUUACUUUAAACAAGACUAGAUAAUAACCUCUUUUGUUGGAUAUUAAUUUGCAAGUAUCAAUCUACAAAUAAUCUUACUUCUAUUAAAAUUAAUAAAUUAUAGUCAAAGUUCAUGUUAAGAGGAAUUUUGUACCAAAUAUUAGUUUGAAUUGGACUAUGUAUAACUUAGCUUUAAUAGAGGUUGCAAAUAUGAAGAUUAAAUCAAAACAAU